UAUUAUCUACCGUGUUCGAUAAUGAUUAAACAUUUUGACCAACACUUAGACAUAGGGAGCUUGAACUCUACCUGCGGCGUAGAAGCCUUAGAUGGACCUAUAAACCAGGUAGGAGAGCACCCACUUGGCAGACCAGGGAUCAAAAUUCCAAAUCAACCGGCACGGUGGAUGAACU
Molecule: non-coding RNA, 175 nt
Filed under: Halanaerobium praevalens DSM 2228
Lineage: Bacteria; Bacillati; Bacillota; Clostridia; Halanaerobiales; Halanaerobiaceae
Also listed under: 1 other name
Description: 6S / SsrS RNA
Rfam family: 6S / SsrS RNA
About the family: E. coli 6S RNA was the first non coding RNA to be sequenced, but its function was unknown until recently. It consists of 184 nucleotides that fold into an extended hairpin structure with a large single-stranded internal bulge. The 6S RNA specifically associates with RNA polymerase holoenzyme containing the sigma70 specificity factor.
Source: Rfam by way of RNAcentral